RNAcentral lists this ribosomal RNA (468 nucleotides) under uncultured bacterium. RNAcentral's name for it is "partial 16S ribosomal RNA". It matches the Rfam family "Bacterial small subunit ribosomal RNA", at positions 28 to 507 of the family's 1533-position model. The record is from RNAcentral.
GACGAACGCUGGCGGCGUGCUUAACACAUGCAAGUCGAACGGAAAGGCCCUGCUUUUGUGGGGUGCUCGAGUGGCGAACGGGUGAGUAACACGUGAGUAACCUGCCCUUGACUUUGGGAUAACUUCAGGAAACUGGGGCUAAUACCGGAUAGGAGCUCCUGCUGCAUGGUGGGGGUUGGAAAGUUUCGGCGGUUGGGGAUGGACUCGCGGCUUAUCAGCUUGUUGGUGGGGUAGUGGCUUACCAAGGCUUUGACGGGUAGCCGGCCUGAGAGGGUGACCGGCCACAUUGGGACUGAGAUACGGCCCAGACUCUUACGGGAGGCAGCAGUGGGGAAUAUUGCACAAUGGGCGGAAGCCUGAUGCAGCAACGCCGCGUGCGGGAUGACGGCCUUCGGGUUGUAAACCGCUUCCGCCUGUGACGAAGCGUGAGUGACGGUAAUGGGUAAAGAAGCACCGGCUAACUACGUG